GCAUUGGUGGUUCAGUGGUAGAAUCCUCGCCUGCCACGCGGGGGGCCCGGCCCGGGUUCGAUUCCCGGCCAAUGCA
Molecule: non-coding RNA, 76 nt
Organism: Sycon ciliatum
Lineage: Eukaryota; Metazoa; Porifera; Calcarea; Leucosolenida; Sycettidae
Source: the annotation of a RefSeq genome assembly